GAUUAACCUAACUCAGAACACUAAUUCAGCUACUACCUUUCUGUGUAUUUAUUCAGUUUCCCCAGGAUGCAGUACUUUGAACAAACCAUGGAUUCCAGAAAAGACAUCUGUUUCCAUCAAGAACUAACAUGGAAUAAUAACAAAGAAGAUGUGGCCACAUGCUCUCAGGUGCAGUCGGAGCAGUCAUAAAAGCAGGCUACUGAAAAAGAAGGAUUCUGCCAAGUAUUAAGCCCCUCUAGCACGCAUUUGCCCUAGGGUAUUCCUUCUUACAACACAGAGCUCAAAUAUAUGCCAUGAAUCUCCAGCACAGCAUGGUGGUUUUUCUCAGGAGGAAAAAAUAUGAUGGCAUUCGUUCAUACAACUUCUUUAUUUUCAAUUGAAAUCAUCAGCUUGGCCUCGAUGAACCAUUUGAAGUCAAAAGGGAAACAAUUGCCCUUGAUAAACUAUCUUUCCUCCUCCCCUAUUCCUUUCUCUUAGUUUUCUGCAUAAAUUAUUAACCUUUCCCCAAUUUGAGGUAGAAACUGAAGGUCAAAGAAGAGAUAUGAGAAGGAGUUUUCCCAUCAAGGGAGGUCCUUUUCUGAUGGAUGACUAAGCCCUGAGAAAUGCUUAGAAAUAGGCAAGAGGGGAUGAAUGCUGCUCUACAUUCAGGUAGCUUUUUGGCUUGGCAAAACUUUAAAAUGUGAUGAAAUCUCUAGAGAGCAAGAAAAAAAAGAUACAGAAAUGGAAAAACCCUUAUGGACCCCAACAACAACAACAACAACAAAACUGUUCUCUAUUACCAUGGUCCCAUCUAUUCCUAUUGAAAUGUAGACCAAGAUGGAUAAGAUGAAUAUUGUAUGUUGACACAGCAAAAUAAUCUGCAGUAACAAAGCCAUGCCUUUGCUUCCUAAAGUUAUCAGAAUGGCACCUUAAAAUUAUGGUCAUAAAGGAACCUGUGAUUGGCCAUACGUUUGAGUUUUCAAGAAGAGAUCUUACACGGAACAUGAGAAAACUACAGUGACUCUCUUGAGAUUUUUCGAAUGACACACAAGCACCAAAGAGGAACUUUUGCCUUUUCGGACAAGUUAAGUACAUUAAAUAUAAUAAGGUCUGAUAAAUCAGAAACAAAAAGUGAAAUUCAUGUUAAGGCCUCAACUCAGUGUUUUAGAAGAGAAUUUUUCUGGGUUUUAUAGUAUCUGACAGUUAAUAGGCCAGGCACAGUGGCUCACACCUGUAGUCUCAGCACUUUAGAAGACAGAGACAAGUGGAUCUCUUGAGCCCAGGAGUUCGAGAACAGCCUGGGCAAUAUUGUGAGGCCCCCAUCUCUACUAAAAAUAACAAAAUCAGCUAUUAGCUGGGCAUGAUGGCAUGCAUCUGUGGUCCUAGCUACCGGGGAGGCUGAGGUGGGAGGAUUGCUUGAGCCUGGGAGGCAGAGUUUGCAGUGAGCCAUGAUUGCACCACUGCAUUCCAGCCUGGGUGACAGAAUGAGACCUUUUCUCAAAAAGAUAAAAAAUAAAUAAAAAAUUAAAGGAAUCCAGUUAACAGUUGUCGCAGGAUGUUAAAGAAUCAGGCUUUAUGGUUUUAAUCAUUACAUAUUCCAGAGGUAAAAUUCUGAGGAAAUCAUUUUUAUGGGUUUAACAGCCAUUCAUACUAUUCUUUAAUGAACAGAGAUUCUGCCACGGAAGAAAGGCUAUUGCAAUUGUCUAGUUUGAGGUUGAUAAAAUUUCUUUUUGACUGGAAAAGAGAAAUUUCCAGUGAAAGGUGAUUUCUUGGCCGGGCACAGUGGCUCAUGCCUGUAAUCCCAGCACUCUGGGAGGCAGAGGCAGGUGGACCACCUGAGGUCAGCGGUUCGAGACCAGCCUGGCCAACAUGGCGAAACCUCGUCUCUACUAAAAAUACAAAAAUUAGCUGGGCGUGUUGGUGGGCACCUGUAAUCCCAGCUACUUGAGAUACUGAGGCACAAGAAUCACUUGAACCUGGGAGGCAAAGGCUGCAGUGAGCGGAGACUGUGGCACUGCACUCCAGCCUGGGCCACAGAGUGAGAUACUGUCUUAAAAAAAAAAAAAAAAAAAAAGAAAGGUGAUUUCUUUACACAGUAGGAACCGGGGGCAAUUAACUUUCGGGCACUUACUUGUACUCAAUUAAUAAUUGAUAUAUAAAUGAAUGUAUCAAAGGCAUCCUGGGAGAUCCCCACAAAUCUGAAACUGCCUACAACAUCCUCCCAAUUUGAUCGGAAUAACUUAAUUGUACUAGGCCUUAGGUUCUGUAAGAAUCCAAAGUGGUGUAAGGUAAGUUUUAUCUGGAAUAGACAGUACAAAUAACAUAGUUCUCCAAAGAAUACAUAAUAUACAAUUGAUGAUGGUAGAAAGUAGAACAAUGGGAAGUGGUUACUCCUUAAGAAUAAUACUUGCUUUCUCCAAAAGGGCUCACUGAGCCACCCAGCAUAUUCCAAGAGUCUAAACAAGGACCGUUGACUAAUUACUUCCAUUAGACUUCCUCUUCGAGAUCCAAAGUUACAUCUGUCCUUCCUCCUUCUCCUUAGAAGAACCAGCUCUCCCAAGAUCUAAGAAGAAAACUCCCAGAAUUAGGCCACGAGGGAGGCUUAUAUGCAAUCAAACUAACCCCAGUGAAAAUGAAAUCACAGUUAGGAGAAGAAGAAAGGACCAGAAUAGUUCAUGAAUUGCCGUACUCCUUACUCUUCUAAUGUAAACAAUAUUAAAAUGCAAUUAUUUCACUAAGGAAAGCUUUUCAAGGUACAGUUCCUUUAAGAAUCAGUUCUGCUGGUAAGGGAACCAAAAAAAUCUCUGUACUUCCUCAAUGGAUUUUAAAUAUAUCAGUAACUCUUCUUGCCCCAAUCCCCAUCAUCCAAAUUUACACUAACCAAAGAAUUUAUGGGUAUAAAAUUACUGUCCUGGGUGGAGGAACUCCUACACAGAAUAGCAACAUGCUUUUAUAGCAAAAGAAGAUGAUGGAGUCUUUAGCAUCCAUGCUGUUUUAUUCAGAAAGAAAAAAAUAUAUAUUGGGGGGGUGGGGGCUGAAGUUAAAGAUAUAUUUUCCUCUUUGCAGCUCUAUAAUUUCAUUCCCCAUAAAAGAGUGAAUCAGACUGAGUUGUCAAAUGAAAAGUAAACUUCAUCGCCUUUGCGAUCAGAAUAAUUUAAUUAGCUUUAUUGGCUCUUACAGGCUGUCACCUUAUUUAUUGGUUUUUCAGCUUUCUUCUCAUUUUCAAUUAGGCUUUAAAAAAACAAAUGCAAAAUCAUUCACUAAAUUCAGAAUAAUUAAAACAAUAUUGUGUUUCCAGUUUGGAAACAUGGUAGAAUGUAUUGCUUCUGGGUACACUUCGGAGAGGUUAAAGUGACAGAGCAGAUAAAAAGGACACUUAGUACACACGUAAAUCAUUUGCAUUACAAAUAAGAUACUUUAGCAGGGGUUGGACUCCCUGCCUGACAGUCAGGAUUAAGUUCCCAUAUUAAUACAUGCAUUUGGUGUGGUUAUUUUGGGUGAAAGACUUCAUCCAUCAAUGCCCUCUGCCACUAAGUAAGGCCAACCUGUAAACUGAUCACCACAGCCUGUCAACACUGGUUACUUAAUUAUAUAAAGAAAAUAUGUUUAAAAGACUUUUGAUAAUUUGGUUAGUAUUUCAACAUCUUUUUCAAGGUUCCUUAAAAUAAUAGCUAAAGCAUUUUUAAGAAUUAAAAACUGAAAACUAUGACUAUUUUUAUGUUUCCUGCUAAUCUUUCUUUUUCUUUUAUUUGCAGAAGGGAAAAAUAAAGAUUCAGUAAGCAUUAAUGAAGAUGAAUAUAAAUGAAAUAAUAUUUUUAAAAGAUAUUUUAAUUAAAAAUUAAAUUCAAUGCAUG
This 3833-nucleotide long non-coding RNA is filed under the name Homo sapiens (human). RNAcentral describes it as "HSALNT0193981". Lineage: Eukaryota; Metazoa; Chordata; Mammalia; Primates; Hominidae. The record is from RNAcentral.